Molecule: ribosomal RNA, 429 nt
Filed under: Acidobacteriota bacterium
Lineage: Bacteria; Pseudomonadati; Acidobacteriota
Description: Acidobacteria bacterium partial 16S ribosomal RNA
Rfam family: Bacterial small subunit ribosomal RNA
Source: RNAcentral
UGGGGAAUUUUGGACAAUGGGGGAAACCCUGAUCCAGCCAUCCCGCGUGCGCGAUGAAGGCCUUCGGGUUGUAAAGCACUUUUGGCAGGAAAGAAACGUCAUGGGUUAAUACCCCGUGAAACUGACGGUACCUGCAGAAUAAGCACCGGCUAACUACGUGCCAGCAGCCGCGGUAAUACGUAGGGUGCAAGCGUUAAUCGGAAUUACUGGGCGUAAAGCGUGCGCAGGCGGUUCGGAAAGAAAGAUGUGAAAUCCCAGAGCUCAACUUUGGAACUGCAUUUUUAGCUACCGGGCUAGAGUGUGUCAGAGGGAGGUGGAAUUCCGCGUGUAGCAGUGAAAUGCGUAGAUAUGCGGAGGAACACCGAUGGCGAAGGCAGCCUCCUGGGAUAACACUGACGCUCAUGCACGAAAGCGUGGGGAGCAAACAGG